Molecule: ribosomal RNA, 433 nt
Filed under: uncultured bacterium
Lineage: Bacteria
Description: partial 16S ribosomal RNA
Rfam family: Bacterial small subunit ribosomal RNA
Source: RNAcentral
AACGAACGCUGGCGGCAUGCCUAACACAUGCAAGUCGAACGAGACCUUCGGGUCUAGUGGCGCACGGGUGCGUAACGCGUGGGAACCUGCCCUUAGGUUCGGAAUAACUCCCCGAAAGGGGUGCUAAUACCGGAUAAUGUCUUCGGACCAAAGAUUUAUCGCUUUUGGAUGGGCCCGCGUUGGAUUAGCUAGUUGGUAGGGUAAAAGCCUACCAAGGCGACGAUCCAUAGCUGGUCUGAGAGGAUGAUCAGCCACACUGGGACUGAGACACGGCCCAGACUCCUACGGGAGGCAGCAGUGGAGAAUAUUGGACGAUGGGCGAAAGCCUGAUCCAGCAAUGCCGCGUGAGUGAUGAAGGCCUUAGGGUUGUAAAGCUCUUUUACCCGGGAUGAUAAUGACAGUACCGGGAGAAUAAGCUCCGGCUAACUCCGUG